GGGGAUGAAUAGUUCGACGGGAUGGCUCUUUAAAAACUGCAAGCCGAGAUGAUUGCUCCUCGUAACAAUCAAUCAAAAUAUAAAUGCUGAUGAAUCCAUUAGCGAUCUAAAAGCAAGAGUUGAUGCAAUGUUUGCUCGAGCUUUUGGAGCCAACGUACAAUUUGCGCAAGCACGAUUGUACGCUUAAGGCCAUCUAUAUUGUCUUUUCUCGAUGGGAUGAUAUAGGUGUAAUACAGUCGGGAUGCUAAUAAGGGAGGUUGAUCUUCUUACUUAUUCUAAGACAAUAGAUCUAGAAAAGAUUUUCUUGUCAAUUUAAUCGGUCUUUUCGAAAUAAAGAAUUGACUAAGCUUGUAGACGUUUUUAAUCCGCUUUCUCGGACGGGAGUUCAACACUCCCCAUCUCCACAU
This 407-nucleotide transfer-messenger RNA is filed under the name Patescibacteria group. RNAcentral's name for it is "JACQJU01 sp016204905 Standard tmRNA". It matches the Rfam family "transfer-messenger RNA". From Rfam's summary of the family: Bacterial tmRNA, also known as 10Sa RNA or SsrA, is named for its dual tRNA and mRNA-like properties. Its role is to liberate the mRNA from a stalled ribosome. To accomplish this part of the tmRNA is used as a reading frame that ends in a translation stop signal. RNAcentral also lists the same sequence under 1 other name. The record is from RNAcentral.